CUAGCCUCAACUUCCCUAUUUUUAUCUACAACACACACAUCUUAUCUCCAUUUUCCACCACACAUAACACAUACUUGAGUUUGGGCCAUUUUCACCAUCAAUUUCCCCUGCCAUGACCUCGUUCAGCUGAUUUGGACCGCUGGUCUUGACGGGAUGACUGCGAGUUUGCUGAAUGACCUUGGUCGGUAACGACGGUGUCCCGACAGCUUGUGCAGCGUUCCUUUCUUGAUUUAUCUUCCUUGUUUCAUCCGUGCAUAAAUGAGACCUGGUGUCGUAAAUAUCUAGGGGAUGUUUAGUUUGCUGAAUAAACAUAGCUAUACCUUCUUAUUGCUUAGUUAGACUCGUGAGAAGUUGAAGAACUGUGCAAAUUCAUAUUUUUGACCUAUAAGAAGGUAUAUCUAAAUAUAAAAGAUUACAAAUUCCUAUUUUAUGUAUAUGGUGACUUUGGUGUUCCAACCAUCCUGUUCAUAUCAACUCACGUUUAGAAGCUUUAGCAAACCGUGAGUAUACUUGACCCUUUUUCGCUUUAAUGCACUUUUGGGUGUAACAUGUAUAAUCUAUCAAA
This 565-nucleotide long non-coding RNA is filed under the name Helianthus annuus (common sunflower). The record is from RNAcentral. Lineage: Eukaryota; Viridiplantae; Streptophyta; Magnoliopsida; Asterales; Asteraceae.